GACAGAGGCCUCGAGCGUUAGGCGGAAUCACUGGGCUUAAAGCGUGUGUAGGCGGGCCCGUCAGUACCUUGUGAAAUCCCACGGCUCAACCGUGGAACCGCUGGGUAUACUGCGGGUCUUGGGCCGACUAGGGGCAGCCGGAACAAGCGGUGGAGCGGUGAAAUGCGUAGAUAUCGCUUGGAACGCCGAAGGUGAAAACAGGCUGCUGGGGUCGCGCCGACGCUGAGACACGAAAGCCAGGGGAGCAAACGGG
Molecule: ribosomal RNA, 253 nt
Filed under: uncultured bacterium
Lineage: Bacteria
Description: partial 16S ribosomal RNA
Rfam family: Bacterial small subunit ribosomal RNA
Source: RNAcentral